UACGGAGGAUGCGAGCGUUAUCCGGAUUUAUUGGGUUUAAAGGGUGCGUAGGCGGGCUUUUAAGUCAGCGGUAAAAAUUCGGGGCUCAACCCCGUCCGGCCGUUGAAACUGGGGGCCUUGAGUGGGCGAGAAGAAGGCGGAAUGCGUGGUGUAGCGGUGAAAUGCAUAGAUAUCACGCAGAACCCCGAUUGCGAAGGCAGCCUUCCGGCGCUCUACUGACGCUGAGGCACGAAAGUGCGGGGGUCGAACAGG
Molecule: ribosomal RNA, 252 nt
Filed under: uncultured bacterium
Lineage: Bacteria
Description: partial 16S ribosomal RNA
Rfam family: Bacterial small subunit ribosomal RNA
Source: RNAcentral